This 231-nucleotide ribosomal RNA is filed under the name uncultured bacterium. RNAcentral describes it as "partial 16S ribosomal RNA". It matches the Rfam family "Bacterial small subunit ribosomal RNA", at positions 91 to 339 of the family's 1533-position model. The record is from RNAcentral.
CCUAGCGGCAGACGGGUGCGUAACAUGUGGGAAUCUGCCUUUUGGUUCGGAAUAACACGGGGAAAACUGUGCUAAUACCGUAUACGCCCUUAGGGGGAAAGAUUUAUUGCUCUUUGAUGAGCCCGCGUUAGAUUAGCUAGUUGGUGGGGUAAAGGCCUACCAAGGCUACGAUCUAUAGCUGGUUUGAGAGGAUGACCAGCCACACUGGGACUGAGACACGGCCCAGACUCC